Molecule: ribosomal RNA, 512 nt
Filed under: uncultured bacterium
Lineage: Bacteria
Description: partial 16S ribosomal RNA
Rfam family: Bacterial small subunit ribosomal RNA
Source: RNAcentral
GAUGAACGCUGGCGGCGUGCCUAAUACAUGCAAGUCGAACGAAACUUCUUUAUCACCGAGUGCUUGCACUCACCGAUAAAGAGUUGAGUGGCGAACGGGUGAGUAACACGUGGGCAACCUGCCCAAAAGAGGGGGAUAACACUUGGAAACAGGUGCUAAUACCGCAUAACCAUAGUUACCGCAUGGUAACUAUGUAAAAGGUGGCUAUACUACCGCUUUUGGAUGGGCCCGCGGCGCAUUAGCUAGUUGGUAGGGUAAAGGCUUACCAAGGCAAUGAUGCGUAGCCGAAUUGAGAGGUUGAUCGGCCACAUUGGGACUGAGACACGGCCCAAACUCCUACGGGAGGCAGCAGUAGGGAAUCUUCCACAAUGGGCGAAAGCCUGAUGGAGCAACGCCGCGUGGGUGAAGAAGGUCUUCGGAUCGUAAAACCCUGUUGUUAGAGAAGAAAGUGCGUGAGAGUAACUGUUCACGUUUCGAGGGUAUCUAACCAGAAAGCCACGGCUAACUACGUG